CCUGCUCUCCCUGCUGUGCCCCAGGGAAGAAGGCAUGCUGUGGGCUCUAGCUCUACUUCUAGCCACCCUGCCUCCCGGCAGUCACACAUCUUCCGGUUUGGAAAGGGGAAUGAUGUCAGUCACAAGUAAACCUGGGUCGCAUGUGCCAAUCACUUGUGAUUUUAAUGAAGCAAGUAAUUAUAUCCACUGGUACCAGUUCAAAGAGGGGCAGGCUCCACGACACAUUCUCUACUACAACUUUUUGCAAUCCAAGGUUGUAGUGUCCUCAGGAAUCAUUUCAGGGAAAUAUAAUGCUAAUAAAGGACCAGAUGGAAGAUGUACAUUUGUAGUACAAAAUGUGGAAGAAAGUGACUCUGCUGUCUAUUACUGCACCUACUGGACUAGCACAGUGGUUCAGACCUUCCUUUAUCUGUAUUAA
Non-coding RNA from Marmota flaviventris (yellow-bellied marmot), 418 nucleotides. Lineage: Eukaryota; Metazoa; Chordata; Mammalia; Rodentia; Sciuridae. The record is from the annotation of a RefSeq genome assembly.